UUGACACCCUUGGAGACUGAAGUCCUAUAUCUAGCCACAGAAAAGGGGCAGUUGAAGCCCAAAGUAAUCCCCCCCCACCAACCCCACUCAAUGCUCCAGUAAAGAGUCUCACAUUUGACUUAGAGAGAUUCCUUCCAGGGGUGAGAUGGUAUUUCAGUUUCCACAUCCAUUACAUCCUUGGCCUCU
This 186-nucleotide small RNA is filed under the name Gopherus agassizii (Agassiz's desert tortoise). Its description in RNAcentral is "TUC338 (ENSGAGG00000011897.1)". The record is from RNAcentral. Lineage: Eukaryota; Metazoa; Chordata; Testudines; Testudinidae.